Molecule: non-coding RNA, 84 nt
Filed under: Aneurinibacillus migulanus
Lineage: Bacteria; Bacillati; Bacillota; Bacilli; Caryophanales; Paenibacillaceae
Description: c-di-GMP sequence
Rfam family: c-di-GMP-I riboswitch aptamer
About the family: GEMM was predicted in a large-scale screen for bacterial structured RNA regulatory elements. Genes associated with GEMM are involved in a diverse array of functions, including chemotaxis regulation, signal transduction, secretion and chitin.
Source: Rfam by way of RNAcentral
UGUUGAAAAAGGCAAACUUAUUGAAAAAUAAGGACGCAAAACUAUAGGGGCUUCUAUCGUUAGAUAUGCCAGCCAGUUGCCAGG